Long non-coding RNA from Mesocricetus auratus (golden hamster), 2302 nucleotides. RefSeq lists it as uncharacterized. The transcript has 3 exons. The record is from RefSeq and is a predicted model, not a curated record. NCBI's taxonomy places the organism in Eukaryota, Metazoa, Chordata, Mammalia, Rodentia, Cricetidae.
GGGGGCAGUCCACGGUGGCAGGGAAGGCGUGAGCAUUAGGCAAGUGGUCACAUUGCAUCCACAGCCAAGAAGCAGAAAUCCAUGUACUAGAGCUUAAGCUCGAUUGUUGAGGGGUGUCCACUAGGCAAGACUACUCCAACAUGAAUUUAAAGCAACAGAACACCUUUGUUAGCUGGCCGGCAACUACACCGGUUGUCAAAAUCCCAGAGAGUCUCGAGCCUUUCUCGGGAUGAGCUUUUAAACACAAAAAAACUAUAUCCUGGGUUGUUAUACUUCAGUAAACAAGAACAGUCGUUAAUGAGAAGCAAAGCUACAGAAGCCAAAAAGCAAGUCCUGGACCUCACCCUCCCCGAAGGUGCUGCCCACAUUUAGGAUGGGUCCUCGUGCUUCUGUUAAACCUCUCUGGAAACAAGCUCCCAGACACACCAAAAGCCUUGCCUCCUGAUCGAUUCUCAAAACAGUCAAGAUGCGGUCAGGACUGGGCCAACUCAGCUCCACAGCACCCCCUGGAGGUCAAUGGAGACAUGACACUCAGCAGCCGAGCCGACUUCUUCCUCCUUCAGCUUCCUUUUCUGUCCAGCUGAGCCAGCCUUAUGCUGACCAGAGGAAUCAUGAGAGAAAACCUGUCUGGGAGCAGCAGAACCCACACUCCAGACUGCUUCCUGGCCUUCCUAGGGCAGCAAAGAGGAUUGAACCCAUAGUAUUGCAAGAGGAAGAACUCAGGAAGGCCAGAGGCUCAAAGUUCCACCUGUGCAAGCCUGGGCUUAUGCAUCUUCUUCUGUGGUCAACAGGAGUCUGGGGGAGGUGCUGUCUUCCAAGAAAGAGCACUUCCCUCCCAGCUGUAAAACUAGUUUAUCUGACAAUUUCCUGGUGUAUAAUGUGUCCACAAGGGGGCGCUGCAGCCAUAGCUGUGAAGCAGCCAGUGCUGGAUCCUGUCCACACCAGCCUUUAGCCUGUCCCAGGUUGCCUCCAGGACAGCUGAUCCUCCUGCCUAGGAGUAGCCAGCCUGCUAGAGACACAGUAUAUUCAACAGUAUAUUCAAAACUACAGUCCUCUCAUGUCUCAUUUCUGCUGGGAGUAGAAUUCAGGGCCACCCUUGGACAGCAAAACUCUAGCCCAGACUAGGAACGCAUACCCAAUGAGAUCCAGAAGCCUGUGUAAGCCCCUCCCCCUUAGGUUUUAACCAGGUGCCUAAAGCUCGAAUCCAGGCGCUACCUAUCCCUGCUAGCUUUGUUUGUCAAUCUUCCCCCACCACAGCCUGUGGUCACUGGACGUGGUUGCUGUGUCACCUGCAAGUGGCAUGGGGUGCCCAUGGGAACAGGGACUGUCACCUGGAAGGGCACGGUAUGGAUUACAGUGUAGCCUUCUGGGAGCAGUGGCUCUAAAGCAGACCUCUGUCUACUUGAUUGCACCUGAUGCAUCUAAUGGGCUUUGAAACUUUUCCUCUGGAAAUUCCACGGUAGCAGCAAUGCCUUUGUUGCGCUUGUUGCAAAGGGGAAUGCGCCAGCUCAGGGGGCGACAUGCAUGACUGUGAGGACAUCAGAGAAAACCAAGAGUGAUGGUCUGGUCUGGGCACUUGGGACAAUAACACGGUUCUUGUCUGAUCAUUUGCUGGGGGGGACAGAGAUACUGAGAAUUUGGGGCAGGGGAAGCAGAGGGGAGGUCUCUCCCCACCAUUCCUCAUGAUGAAUUUCUAGGACAAGUCGAGACAUAAGUGUCUUCCCUUGCACACUGCUAUGGGUAAGAGCUUCUCAGGUACUGUGGGUGACCUUGUGAUCUUCAUUGGGGACUCUGAGCAGCCUAGAAAUACCCGGCCCAGCUGAGCAAAGUGAGCCAAGACACCCUGGCUGCCCCAACAACAACCUUCGGAGGUCAUUGAUCCCCAGAUGGGUACAGUAGAGCACCCUGUGCUCAGGUAAGUCUGGGGACCUCUGGGUACUGUUUCCUUCUCAGAAACUCAAAAGGCACUGCAAGGAGCUGAAGCCUUUUGAGAGUCCUACAAAGCAUUGUUCGUUUAUUUCCACAUUUCCUGCUAGACAUGCACUCAAGGCUGUGUGUGUGUGUGUGUGUGUGUGUGUGUGUGUGUGUGUGUGUUUGUGCUGCAUUCACUGCAAGUGUGCUCGCUUGUGUGCGCGCAUGUGGAGACCAAAAGUCAGCAUGAAGUGUCUUCCUCUACUGCUCCCCACCUUCUUUCUCAUCAUGAACCCCAUCACACUCAUUUUCUGGUCCUUCCAUGUCCGCACCCCAACCCUGUGACCUCCCCCCAAAAACACCAAAAAAUUAAAAUUAAAAUACAAACCAA